GACGAACCGGGCGAACGGUGUUCGGAAUCACUGGGCUUAAAGGGCGCGUAGGCGGGCUGUCAAGUCCGGGGUGAAAUCUUUCGGCUUAACCGGAAAAGUGCCUUGGAUACUGAUGGUCUCGAGGGAGGUAGGGGCAGCUGGAACUUCCGGUGGAGCGGUGAAAUGCGUUGAUAUCGGAAGGAACUCCGGUGGCGAAAGCGAGCUGCUGGACCUCUUCUGACGCUGAGGCGCGAAAGCUAGGGGAGCAAACGGG
This 253-nucleotide ribosomal RNA is filed under the name uncultured bacterium. Its description in RNAcentral is "partial 16S ribosomal RNA". It matches the Rfam family "Bacterial small subunit ribosomal RNA", at positions 524 to 776 of the family's 1533-position model. The record is from RNAcentral.